This 487-nucleotide ribosomal RNA is filed under the name uncultured bacterium. RNAcentral's name for it is "partial 16S ribosomal RNA". It matches the Rfam family "Bacterial small subunit ribosomal RNA", at positions 28 to 507 of the family's 1533-position model. The record is from RNAcentral.
GACGAACGCUGGCGGUGUGCCUAACACAUGCAAGUCGUACGAUGACCCGGCUCUUCGGUGCUGGUGAUUAGUGGCGAACGGGUGAGUAACACGUGGGCGACCUGCCCUGCACUCUGGGAUAAGCUCGGGAAACUGGGCCUACUACAGUACACGACAAGUGGCAGCAUGGUCUGCAGGUGGAAAGCCCAUCGGGCGGGUGUGGGUUGGGCCCGCGGACAUUAGGUUCGUGGGUGGGGUGAUGGCCAACCAAGGCGAGGUCCGGUAGCCGGCCGGAGAGGGGGUCCAGUGAGACUGAGACUGGGACACGGCCCAGACUCGUGCGGGAGGCAGCAGUGGGGGGACUUGCAGAAUGGGCGUAAUCCUGAUGCAGCGACGCCGCGUGGAGGAUGACGGGCUUCGGGUUGUAAACCUCUGGCGGCAGGGAACAGGCCUGGGGGUUGUCUUCUGGGUGAGGGUACCUACGGAAGAAGCACCGGCUAACUACGUG